CUAGCCUACCUCUUCUUAUCUCCUUUAAUCUUUUCCUGUCCAUUUCUUACUCCUAUUUCCAGAAGAACUCUUUUAUUCUUUUCAUGUUGGUUCUGGAUUCCAACAUGGACUCAUUAUGUUGCCCUGGUUAUCCUGGAACUCACUUUGUAGAGCAGGGUGGCCUUAUACUCACAGAGAUCUGGCUGCCUCUGCCUCCUGAGUUUGGGAUUAAAGAUGGGUGCCACCACACCUGGCACUCACUUGAGGUUCAUAUCAGUGGACAAAAUUACCUGCCUUACCUUAUCACCAACGCAAACUGACUUGCUCACAGACUGAAGUUAUGGCUGUAGAGUUUUACACGUACUUCUUAAGUCCAAAUGCAUUGGAUAUACCCAUAGUUCAAGAUGAGCCAGGAAGAAAAAUAUGCAACUCUGAUACACUGGCAACAGAUAUGUUUAUUUCAUGUAGAGUAAAAUAAAUACAUGAACAAAUGAGCAAAUAUUUACCCCCAUCUCCAGUGAACUUUAUAAAGGACAAGAGCCAAGCCCUUAUUCAAAGGAUGGGCAUAACAGUUACAAAGCAAAUAUGUGAUGACCUCUUUGCAUUGAACGUUCUCAACGAUCAAGAAGUUGCCAUCAUUCACCAUGAGCCUGUGGAGCAGGAAGCUGCACGGAAGAUCGUCCAUAUGAUUUUGAAGAAGGGCUCAGUGGCCUGCAACCUCUUUCUUAAGAGUCUUGAAAACUGGGACUAUUUUGUGUAUCAGGACUUAACUGGACAAAAUCUUUUUUAUCAGAUCGCUCAAGAAGACUUGAAUGUUUUGGCCCAGAAUUUAAAGGACUUAUAUGACAGCCCCGCUUUUCUGAACUUCUAUCCCCUGGGUGGAGAUAUUGACAUCAUUUUUAAUCUGAGGAGAACCUUCACAGAACCUGUCUUGUGGAAGAAGGACCAUCGUCAUCACCGCGUGGAGCAGCUGACUUUGGGCAGCCUGCUGGAGGCUCUUAAGAGCCCCUGCCUCAUUGAAGGGGAGUCUGGUAAAGGGAAGUCUACCCUGCUGCAGAGAAUCGCCAUGCUCUGGGCCUCUGGGGAGUGCAGGGCUCUGAAGGGCUUCAAAUUGGUCUUCUUCAUCCGCCUGAGCAGUGCCAGGGGUGGACUGUUUGAAACGCUGUGUGAUCAGCUCCUGAACAUACCUGACUCCAUCAGCAAGCCAACCUUCAUGGCUCUGCUGCUGAAACUACACAAGGAGGUCCUCUUUCUUCUCGAUGGUUACAAUGAAUUCCAUCCCCAGAACUGCCCAGAAAUAGAGGCCCUGAUAAAGGAAAACCAUCGUUUCAAGAACAUGGUCAUUGUCACCACCACCACAGAGUGCCUGAGACAUAUCAGACACGUUGGCGCCCUGACUGCAGAGGUGGGAGAUAUGACCAAAGACAAUGCCCAACGUCUCAUCGGGGAAGUGCUUAUACAUGAGCUGGCUGAACGUCUGUGGUGCCAGAUCCAGGAGUCCAGAUGCUUAAGAAAUCUGAUAAAGACCCCUCUCUUUGUGGUGAUCACCUGUGCAAUCCAGAUGGGCAGAAAGGAAUUCCAAGCUCACACACAAACCAUGCUGUUCCGAACCCUCUACGACCUCCUGAUACAGAAAAACAGGCACAGACACAGAGGUGGAACUUCGAGGGAUUUUGUCAGAAGCCUAGAUUACUGUGGAGACCUGGCCCUGGAAGGUGUGUUCUCCCACAAGUUUGAUUUUGACCCCGAGGAUGUGUCCAGCAUGAAUGAGGAUGUCCUGGUGACAACUGGACUGCUCUGUAAGUACACGGCUCAGAGGCUGAAGCCCAAGUAUAAAUUCUUUCAUAAGUCAUUUCAGGAGUACACAGCAGGUCGGAGACUCAGCAGUUUGCUGAUAUCCAGAGAGCCAGAGGAGGUGAGCAAGGGGAACAGCUACUUAAAGAAAAUGGUUUCCAUCUCUGACAUCACAUCCCUGUAUGGCAAUCUGCUCUUGUAUACGUGUGGGUCAUCCACAGAAGCAACCAGGGCUGUCAUGAGGCACCUUGCAAUGGUAUAUCAGCAUGGCAGCCUACAAGGACUUUCUGUCACCAAGAGGCCUCUCUGGAGGCAGGAAUCAAUACAAAGCCUGAGAAAUACCACUGAGCAAGAUGUUCUGAAAGCCAUCAAUAUAAAUUCCUUUGUAGAGUGUGGCAUCAAUUUAUUCUCGGAGAGUAUAUCUCAAUCAGCUCUGAGCGAAGAAUUUGAAGCUUUCUUUCAAGGUAAAAGUUUAUACAUCAACUCGGAAAACAUCCCCGAUUACUUAUUUGACUUCUUUAAAUACUUGCCUAAUUGUGCAAGUGCAUUGGACUUCGUGAAGCUGGAUUUCUAUGGGAGCACUACAGUGUCUCAGGACAAGGAGGGAGAGAAUGGCCCUGGAAUUCACAUGGAAGGGCCCUCAGAAACCUACAUUCCCCACAGGGCUGUGUCUUUGUUCUUCAACUGGAAGCAGGAAUUCAAGAGUCUAGAGGUUACACUCCGAGAUAUUAGCAAAUUGAAUAAACAAGAUAUCAAAUAUCUGGGGAAGAUAUUCAGCUCUGCCACCAACCUCCAGCUGUAUGUCAAGAGAUGUGCAGCCGUGGCUGGAAAGCUCAGCUCUGUCCUUAGAGCCUGCAAGCACAUCCAUUCCCUCAUGGUGGAAGCUAGUCCCCUCACCACGGAUGACGAGCAGCACAUUACAUCUGUGACAAACCUCCAGAACUUAAGCAUUCACCGCCUGCACACUCAACGGCUGCCAGGUGGUCUGGUUGACAGCUUGGGUAAUCUGAAGAAUCUUGUGAAACUCACACUGGAUGACAUUAGGAUGAACGAGGAAGAUGCUAAAAGCCUAGCACAAGGCCUGCGAAACCUGAAGAAGAUGCGUUUAUUCCAUUUGACUCAUUUGUCUGACAUUGGGGAGGGAGUGGAUUACAUAGUCAAGUCUCUCUCAGAAGAACCCUGUGAUCUACAAGAGAUGAAGUUGGUGGCCUGCUGUAUGACUGCAAAUUCUGUGAAAAUUCUAGCACAGAAUCUUCACAAUUUGGUCAAGCUGAGUAUUCUCGAUAUAUCAGAAAAUUACCUGGAAAAGGACGGAAAUGAGGCUUUAGAGGAACUGAUCGGCAGGCUUGGCGUCCUGGAACAGCUCACCACGUUGAUGCUGCCUUGGUGCUGGGAUGUGUGCAUCAGCCUACCCAAACUCUUGAAGCAAUUGGAGGAGGCCCCAGGGCUUGCCAGACUUGGAUUGAAAAACUGGAGACUCAGAGAUGAAGAGAUUAGAAGUUUAGUUUAUCACUUAGGGCCUACUUCAGUCUGCCACAGCGGGGAAAAUCACCGGCAGGAGCUUGAGGAAGCUACUCAGUCACGCUACACCCACCAUCCAGGACAGAGAACAAUUGAGUAUAUGCAGGCUGUUCAGCUUCCUGUCUCCAGUCAGGGAAUGAUGGCACCAAUGGUGGACGGGCCCCACCACCUCCGUUAAAGCAAUCAAGAUAACCAGUCCCCCACAGCAUUGCCAAGUGAAUCUAGACUUGGUCACGUCAAGAAUUAACACUAGGUGACCUGACUGGCUCAGGUGAACUGAAGGGCAGUAUUAGACAAGUUUACCCCAAAGCGCGUGAGAUUGUACCAGUUGUAUUCUCCACAGCCCACAGACGGCCAAGCUCCAAAUACACAGAUUCUAACCCUGUUGGAUCUAGUUUGAUCCACAUUCAACCAGCAGAAGGCAUGUCCUUGGACCAUGCAAACUGUUGUUUGUAUUUCCGGUCCGUACCUGCACCAGUUCUGACAAUCACCCAGGACACUCUGCUAAGGUCCUCCACCUGAACCGGACAGCCACAGAAACAGCUCCGCUCUCAUCGCAGAGCAGGCUUUGACGUUUCUAAAUUCUUACUGGGUCGUGAAAACAACUUGCUCUUUGGGAGAGAAAGCCCACAAAACUGGAAACAAAACAAAGCAACAAAACAUUUUGCAUUCCUGACGUGCAGAGUAUCACAGCAGAGGUGGCAAAAUAGGAAGGUGAAUUUUUGAAGACGUAUCCUCUGAGAGACUUGCAGCAGUUGGAUUUAUCGGGACACUGUGUGAGCAGUGAUGGCUGGCUUUCCUUCAUGGAUGUGUUUGAGAAUCUUAA
Mastomys coucha (southern multimammate mouse) is the source of this 4120-nucleotide RNA transcript. It is a transcript of the gene named NLR family CARD domain containing 4, with no coding region annotated. The transcript has 8 exons. The record is from RefSeq and is a predicted model, not a curated record. NCBI's taxonomy places the organism in Eukaryota, Metazoa, Chordata, Mammalia, Rodentia, Muridae.